Molecule: unclassified non-coding RNA, 211 nt
Filed under: soil metagenome
Description: partial contains small subunit ribosomal RNA, internal transcribed spacer 1, and 5.8S ribosomal RNA
Source: RNAcentral
UCUCCGUUGGUGAACCAGCGGAGGGAUCAUUACCGAGUUUACAACUCCCAAACCCCUGUGAACAUACCUUACUGUUGCCUCGGCGGAUCAGCCCGCUCCCGGUAAAACGGGACGGCCCGCCAGAGGACCCCUAAACUCUGUUUCUAUAUGUAACUUCUGAGUGGAUUAUACAAAUGAAUCAAAACUUUCAACAACGGAUCUCUUGGUUCUG